Molecule: ribosomal RNA, 253 nt
Filed under: uncultured bacterium
Lineage: Bacteria
Description: partial 16S ribosomal RNA
Rfam family: Bacterial small subunit ribosomal RNA
Source: RNAcentral
UACGAAUGGAGCGAGCGUUGCUCGGAAUCAUUGGGUUUAAAGGGUGCGCAGGCGGUAAAGUAAGUCAGUGGUGAAAUCCCUUCGCUCAACGAAGGAACUGCCAUUGAUACUGCUAUACUUGAAUAUAGUUGAAGUAGGCGGAAUGUGUAGUGUAGCGGUGAAAUGCUUAGAUAUUACACAGAACACCGAUAGCGAAGGCAGCUUACUAAACUAAUAUUGACGCUCAUGCACGAAAGCGUGGGGAGCGAACAGG